This 550-nucleotide ribosomal RNA is filed under the name Microbacterium nematophilum. RNAcentral describes it as "bacterial SSU rRNA". It matches the Rfam family "Bacterial small subunit ribosomal RNA", at positions 111 to 674 of the family's 1533-position model. Lineage: Bacteria; Bacillati; Actinomycetota; Actinomycetes; Micrococcales; Microbacteriaceae. The record is from RNAcentral.
UAACACGUGAGCAACCUGCCCUUCACUCUGGGAUAAGCGCUGGAAACGGUGUCUAAUACUGGAUAUGAGACGCAACCGCAUGGUUAGUGUUUGGAAAGAUUUUUUGGUGGAGGAUGGGCUCGCGGCCUAUCAGCUUGUUGGUGAGGUAAUGGCUCACCAAGGCGUCGACGGGUAGCCGGCCUGAGAGGGUGACCGGCCACACUGGGACUGAGACACGGCCCAGACUCCUACGGGAGGCAGCAGUGGGGAAUAUUGCACAAUGGGCGGAAGCCUGAUGCAGCAACGCCGCGUGAGGGAUGACGGCCUUCGGGUUGUAAACCUCUUUUAGCAGGGAAGAAGCGUGAGUGACGGUACCUGCAGAAAAAGCGCCGGCUAACUACGUGCCAGCAGCCGCGGUAAUACGUAGGGCGCAAGCGUUAUCCGGAAUUAUUGGGCGUAAAGAGCUCGUAGGCGGUCUGUCGCGUCUGCUGUGAAAUCCCGAGGCUCAACCUCGGGCCUGCAGUGGGUACGGGCAGACUAGAGUGCGGUAGGGGAGAUUGGAAUUCCUGGU